UACAUGGGGUGCAAACGUUGCUCGGAAUCAUUGGGCGUAAAGCGCGCGUAGGCGGUUACUUAAGUUGGAUGUGAAAGCCCUCGGCUUAACCGAGGAACUGCCCUCCAAACUGCUUGGCUUGAGUCCGGGAGAGGUGAGUGGAAUUCCCAGUGUAGCGGUGAAAUGCGUAGAUAUUGGGAGGAACACCAGUGGCGAAGGCGGCUCACUGGACCGGAACUGACGCUGAGGCGCGAAAGCGUGGGGAGCAAACGGG
Molecule: ribosomal RNA, 253 nt
Filed under: uncultured bacterium
Lineage: Bacteria
Description: partial 16S ribosomal RNA
Rfam family: Bacterial small subunit ribosomal RNA
Source: RNAcentral